RNAcentral lists this ribosomal RNA (2335 nucleotides) under Salmonella enterica. RNAcentral describes it as "partial 23S ribosomal RNA". It matches the Rfam family "Bacterial large subunit ribosomal RNA", at positions 711 to 2925 of the family's 2925-position model. RNAcentral also lists the same sequence under 2 other names. The record is from RNAcentral. Lineage: Bacteria; Pseudomonadati; Pseudomonadota; Gammaproteobacteria; Enterobacterales; Enterobacteriaceae.
AGACCCGAAACCCGGUGAUCUAGCCAUGGGCAGGUUGAAGGUUGGGUAACACUAACUGGAGGACCGAACCGACUAAUGUUGAAAAAUUAGCGGAUGACCUGUGGCUGGGGGUGAAAGGCCAAUCAAACCGGGAGAUAGCUGGUUCUCCCCGAAAGCUAUUUAGGUAGCGCCUCGUGAAUUCAUCUCCGGGGGUAGAGCACUGUUUCGGCUAGGGGGCCAUCCCGGCUUACCAACCCGAUGCAAACUGCGAAUACCGGAGAAUGUUAUCACGGGAGACACACGGCGGGUGCUAACGUCCGUCGUGAAGAGGGAAACAACCCAGACCGCCAGCUAAGGUCCCAAAGUCAUGGUUAAGUGGGAAACGAUGUGGGAAGGCCCAGACAGCCAGGAUGUUGGCUUAGAAGCAGCCAUCAUUUAAAGAAAGCGUAAUAGCUCACUGGUCGAGUCGGCCUGCGCGGAAGAUGUAACGGGGCUAAACCAUGCACCGAAGCUGCGGCAGCGAACGUAUCACCCAAGACAACUUUACGGAGUUGACGAUUGACGGAGCGAAGCGACGUCAAAGCGUUCAUUAAAGUCGAGUUGGCUUAGGGAUACGUUCGUUGGGUAGGGGAGCGUUCUGUAAGCCUGUGAAGGUGUGUCGUGAGGCAUGCUGGAGGUAUCAGAAGUGCGAAUGCUGACAUAAGUAACGAUAAAGCGGGUGAAAAGCCCGCUCGCCGGAAGACCAAGGGUUCCUGUCCAACGUUAAUCGGGGCAGGGUGAGUCGACCCCUAAGGCGAGGCCGAAAGGCGUAGUCGAUGGGAAACGGGUUAAUAUUCCCGUACUUGGUGUUACUGCGAAGGGGGGACGGAGAAGGCUAUGUUGGCCGGGCGACGGUUGUCCCGGUUUAAGCGUGUAGGUGUGUGUUCCAGGUAAAUCCGGUUCACUUUAACACUGAGGCGUGACGACGAGGCACUACGGUGCUGAAGCAACAAAUGCCCUGCUUCCAGGAAAAGCCUCUAAGCAUCAGGUAACACGAAAUCGUACCCCAAACCGACACAGGUGGUCAGGUAGAGAAUACCAAGGCGCUUGAGAGAACUCGGGUGAAGGAACUAGGCAAAAUGGUGCCGUAACUUCGGGAGAAGGCACGCUGACACGUAGGUGAAGUGAUUUACUCAUGGAGCUGAAGUCAGUCGAAGAUACCAGCUGGCUGCAACUGUUUAUUAAAAACACAGCACUGUGCAAACACGAAAGUGGACGUAUACGGUGUGACGCCUGCCCGGUGCCGGAAGGUUAAUUGAUGGGGUCAGCGUAAGCGAAGCUCCUGAUCGAAGCCCCGGUAAACGGCGGCCGUAACUAUAACGGUCCUAAGGUAGCGAAAUUCCUUGUCGGGUAAGUUCCGACCUGCACGAAUGGCGUAAUGAUGGCCAGGCUGUCUCCACCCGAGACUCAGUGAAAUUGAACUCGCUGUGAAGAUGCAGUGUACCCGCGGCAAGACGGAAAGACCCCGUGAACCUUUACUAUAGCUUGACACUGAACAUUGAGCCUUGAUGUGUAGGAUAGGUGGGAGGCUUUGAAGUGUGGACGCCAGUCUGCAUGGAGCCGACCUUGAAAUACCACCCUUUAAUGUUUGAUGUUCUAACGUGGACCCGUAAUCCGGGUUGCGGACAGUGUCUGGUGGGUAGUUUGACUGGGGCGGUCUCCUCCUAAAGAGUAACGGAGGAGCACGAAGGUUGGCUAAUCCUGGUCGGACAUCAGGAGGUUAGUGCAAUGGCAUAAGCCAGCUUGACUGCGAGCGUGACGGCGCGAGCAGGUGCGAAAGCAGGUCAUAGUGAUCCGGUGGUUCUGAAUGGAAGGGCCAUCGCUCAACGGAUAAAAGGUACUCCGGGGAUAACAGGCUGAUACCGCCCAAGAGUUCAUAUCGACGGCGGUGUUUGGCACCUCGAUGUCGGCUCAUCACAUCCUGGGGCUGAAGUAGGUCCCAAGGGUAUGGCUGUUCGCCAUUUAAAGUGGUACGCGAGCUGGGUUUAGAACGUCGUGAGACAGUUCGGUCCCUAUCUGCCGUGGGCGCUGGAGAACUGAGGGGGGCUGCUCCUAGUACGAGAGGACCGGAGUGGACGCAUCACUGGUGUUCGGGUUGUCAUGCCAAUGGCACUGCCCGGUAGCUAAAUGCGGAAGAGAUAAGUGCUGAAAGCAUCUAAGCACGAAACUUGCCCCGAGAUGAGUUCUCCCUGAGACUUAGAGUCUCCUGAAGGAACGUUGAAGACGACGACGUUGAUAGGCCGGGUGUGUAAGCGCAGCGAUGCGUUGAGCUAACCGGUACUAAUGAACCGUGAGGCUUAACCUUACAACGCCGAAG